GGGCAUUUAGCGCAGUGGUAGCGCGUAUGCUUUGCAUACUAGCAUGUAUAAGGUCCAGAGUUCAAUCCUCUGAAUGUCCA
Molecule: transfer RNA, 80 nt
Organism: Suillus luteus
Lineage: Eukaryota; Fungi; Basidiomycota; Agaricomycetes; Boletales; Suillaceae
Rfam family: tRNA
About the family: Transfer RNA (tRNA) molecules are approximately 80 nucleotides in length. Their secondary structure includes four short double-helical elements and three loops (D, anti-codon, and T loops).
Source: Rfam